RNAcentral lists this long non-coding RNA (543 nucleotides) under Bos taurus (domestic cattle). RNAcentral's name for it is "long non-coding RNA NONBTAT008358". The record is from RNAcentral. Lineage: Eukaryota; Metazoa; Chordata; Mammalia; Artiodactyla; Bovidae.
AGACAUUUCUCAAAACUUGUUUAAAGUAGCAGAGAUACAGAAAAAUGUUUAAAAGAUUGCAGUUAAAUAUGUUAUAGAUGGAAAAUGUUGGUUCCCAAGGAAAAAGAGAUGGAGUGCUUUUUUUUGUAUAUUCUUACUGUUUGGUGAAGCACCAUAUUGCUUUAAGUCCUUUGAAAGGGCAUUGUUUUUAUUUUAAUUAAUCAAAUAGUAUUUACUUAUGCAUAUUAUUUCCAUAUAGUUAACAGCUAUUCCUGACAUAUGUCAAACAAUUACUUUUGUUUAGAUUUAGUUUAGUUUAGGUUUGUUAGUAGGAAUCAUUUACUCCCAAAUUUCACAUAAAAUAUCAAGUAAAAUGUUUGUUUAGUUGUUUAUUUUCAAGGCUUCUGACUGCUUAUGUUAACACACUAUACUUUGAACAGGAUCAAAGAGUAAAUUACUGUUUUUAAUUGGACUUUUUUUCUGCUCCGUACUAUGUUGCAAAUUAAUUUUGUAAACUCAAAGGAAUCAGUUAAUUAUUUAGAUUGUGUCAGUGUUUGUUUUUAG